RNAcentral lists this ribosomal RNA (274 nucleotides) under uncultured bacterium. RNAcentral's name for it is "partial 16S ribosomal RNA". It matches the Rfam family "Bacterial small subunit ribosomal RNA", at positions 523 to 796 of the family's 1533-position model. The record is from RNAcentral.
AUACGGAGGGUGCAAGCGUUGUUCGGAAUCACUGGGCGUCAAGGGCGCGCAGGCGGUUUGGUAAGUCAGAUGUGAAAGCCCAUGGCUCAACCAUGGAAGUGCAUUUGAAACUGUCAGACUUGAGUACUAGAGGGGAAAGUGGAAUUCCCGGUGUAGAGGUGAAAUUCGUAGAUAUCGGGAGGAAUACCGGUGGCGAAGGCGACUUUCUGGCUAGAUACUGACGCUGAGGCGCGAAAGCGUGGGGAGCAAACAGGAUUAGAAACCCCAGUAGUCC